GGUAUCAUAGCUCAAGCGGUAGAGCGCAUGCCUAGCAUGCAUGAGGUUCUGGGCUCAAGCCCCAGUACCU
Molecule: transfer RNA, 70 nt
Filed under: Camelus bactrianus (Bactrian camel)
Lineage: Eukaryota; Metazoa; Chordata; Mammalia; Artiodactyla; Camelidae
Also listed under: 2 other names
Rfam family: tRNA
About the family: Transfer RNA (tRNA) molecules are approximately 80 nucleotides in length. Their secondary structure includes four short double-helical elements and three loops (D, anti-codon, and T loops).
Source: Rfam by way of RNAcentral